UAAUCCAGUGCAUGAGACGUCGAGUUACAAAUAAAGUGGAAGAAACGUUUUUCUAUAAAAUAUACAGUGUUUUAUUUCAAUAUGGGUACACUAUCCGAUUUUGGUCAAAUAGCUUUGAAAUGGGAUCCAAAAAACUUAGAAAUUCGUACCAUGUCAGUCGAAAAAACUUUAGAGCCGUUGGUUUUGCAAGUGACAACGCUAGUGAACACUAAAGGGCCAAGCAAAAAAAAGAAAGGAAAAUCAAAGCGGGCGAGUGCACUAGUUGCUGCUGUUGAAAAAGCUACAGAAAAUUUUAUACAGAAGGGAGAGCAAAUUGCGUAUGAGAAUCCGGAUAUAACGCAAGAAAUGUUAUCUGCCGUCGACGAGGUGCGUAAAACAGGAGAUGCCAUGAGCAUUGCAGCAAGGGAGUUUUCGGAGGAUCCAUGUAGUUCAUUAAAAAGAGGGAACAUGGUGCGAGCAGCACGGAAUCUGCUUUCAGCUGUAACACGCUUAUUAAUUUUAGCAGAUAUGGUGGAUGUUCAUUUGUUGCUUAAAUCUCUUCACAUUGUUGAAGAUGAUCUUAAUAAACUUAAGAAUGCAUCAAGCCAAGACGAACUUAUGAACAACAUGCGGCAAUUCGGUCGUAACGCUGGAGAGCUCAUCAAACAAGCAGCAAAGCGUCAACAAGAACUAAAGGAUCCACAAUUGAGGGAUGACUUAGCUGCCGCACGUGCAAUGCUUAAAAAGCAUUCAACAAUGCUCCUGACUGCAUCAAAAGUUUAUGUUCGACAUCCAGAAUUAGAUCUGGCCAAAGUCAACAGAGACUUUAUCUUAAAACAAGUGUGCGAUGCUGUUAACACGAUUAGCGAUGUGGCCCAGGGCAAAUCAUCACAGCCUACCGAUGUUUAUAGUGGUGCAGGAGAACUAGCUGCAGCCUUGGACGAUUUUGACGAGGGUAUUAUAAUUGAUCCCAUGACAUACAGUGAUAAACGGUCACGUCAACUGCUGGAAGAACGUUUAGAAAGUAUUAUUAGUGCUGCUGCACUAAUGGCCGAUGCAGACUGUACAAGGGACGAGCGCAGAGAAAGAAUUGUUGCCGAAUGCAAUGCCGUCCGCCAGGCUCUACAAGAUCUCCUUUCUGAAUACAUGUCAAACAUGGGUCAAAAAGAUAACAGCCCCGCUCUAGAUCGUGCCAUUGAUCAAAUGUGUCGCAAAACUAGAGAUCUGCGUCGGCAGCUUCGCAAAGCAGUUGUUGAUCACGUGUCCGAUUCCUUUUUGGAAACAACUACGCCUUUAAUUGACUUAAUUGAAGCCGCUAAAUCUGGUAAUGAAAAAAAAGUGAGGGAAAAAGCUGAGAUAUUUACGAAGCAUGCUGAAAAAUUAGUUGAAGUUGCUAACCUCGUGUGCAGUAUGUCAAAUAACGAAGACGGGGUGAAAAUGGUCCGCUAUGCGGCGGCCCAGAUCGAAAGCUUAUGCCCCCAAGUAAUAAAUGCUGCAUCAAUUCUCACGGUUCGACCCAACUCAAAGGUUGCCCAAGAGAACAUGUCUGCUUAUCGCCAAGCAUGGGAGGUGCAAGUUCGGAUAUUAACGGAAGCUGUCGAUGACAUUACAACCAUUGAUGAUUUUUUAGCUGUUUCCGAAAAUCAUAUUCUUGAAGAUGUAAACAAAUGUGUCAUGGCGUUGCAAGUUGGGGACGCUAAGGAUCUACGUGGAACUGCUGGAUCCAUUCAAGGCCGAUCGUCCCGUGUGUGCAAUGUUGUUGAGGCUGAAAUGGACAACUAUGAGACAUGCAUUUAUACAAAGCGAGUUUUGGAAGCAGUUAAAGUGCUACGCGAGCAAGUAAUGAUAAAAUUUGAACAACGAGUUGAUGCUGCAGUAGAAGCUCUUUCAGCAAAUAGCAACAAAAAUGUCGACGAAAAUGACUUUAUUGAUGCCUCCCGUUUGGUUUACGAUGGUGUGCGUGAAAUCCGACGUGCAGUAUUAAUGAACCGAAGUUCUGAUGAUCUAGAUACUGACACAGAGUUCGAGCCAGUCGAAGACUUAACAUUGGAAACGCGUAGUCGAUCAAGCGCUCACACUGGGGAUCAAACUGUUGACGAAUAUCCGGACAUUAGUGGUAUUUGUACUGCUAGGGAAGCAAUGCGUAAAAUGACAGAAGAGGAUAAGCAAAAAAUUGCACAACAAGUAGAACUAUUUCGUCGCGAAAAACUUACUUUUGAUUCAGAGGUUGCAAAAUGGGAUGACACUGGCAACGACAUCAUUUUCUUGGCAAAACAUAUGUGUAUGAUAAUGAUGGAGAUGACUGACUUCACUAGAGGCCGUGGUCCUUUAAAGACUACCAUGGAUGUUAUCAACGCCGCCAAGAAAAUAUCGGAAGCCGGUACUAAACUCGAUAAGCUAACUCGUGAAAUAGCAGAGCAAUGCCCUGAAAGUAGCACUAAAAAAGACUUAUUGGCAUAUUUGCAACGUAUUGCUCUCUACUGUCACCAAAUUCAGAUAACUUCUAAAGUCAAAGCAGAUGUACAAAACAUAAGUGGGGAACUGAUUGUUUCAGGGCUGGAUAGCGCAACUUCUUUGAUACAAGCAGCUAAGAAUCUAAUGAAUGCCGUAGUGCUAACAGUAAAAUAUUCUUACGUAGCAUCAACAAAAUACACAAGACAAGGCACUGUCACUGGAUAUACUACUAGAAAACUCUUAAUUGUAUUUGCAAAUUAAAAAAACUGUUAACCAUCUAGACAUCAAGACAUAAAUGCCUAUUCAAUUCAGUCAUAACGAUAACUGAUCUGCAUCUAGGCAUCUGGUAUUGGAGCUAGUGGGUUAGCAAAUAGUCAGACGCCGUAAAGACUCUCACUAUAUUAUGAUUUAUGCCAUUCAAUCUCCAAUCGUUGUAUGGAAAAUGAAGGCACCAGAGAAAAAACCACUUGUGCGGCCUGAGAAACCAGAAGAAGUUCGCGCUAAAGUUCGAAAGGGAUCGCAGAAAAAAAUUCAAAAUCCUAUUCAUGCUCUUUCUGAAUUCCAAAGUCCCGCUGAUGCUGUUUAAAGGACACAAUAUAAAUUAUAAAUUUAAGUAUUAUAUACCUAAUUAUUAUUUUAUGAUAAACAUUAACUCUUAACAGGAA
This is an RNA transcript of Drosophila montana, 3098 nucleotides long. It is a transcript of the gene named catenin alpha, with no coding region annotated. NCBI's taxonomy places the organism in Eukaryota, Metazoa, Arthropoda, Insecta, Diptera, Drosophilidae. The record is from RefSeq and is a predicted model, not a curated record. The transcript has 13 exons.